GUCCUUUAGGUAAUUAUAAUUUAAGGUCUAACCUGCCCAUUGAUAAGUUAAAAGGCCGCAGUAAUUUGACUGUGCAAAGGUAGCAUAAUCAUUAGUUUUUUAAUUAAAAGCUUGUAUGAAUGGUUGGACGAGAUAAAAUCUGUCUCUUUAUAAAAAAUAGAAUUUAAUUUUUAAGUUAAAAAGCUUAAAUUUAUAUAAAAGACGAGAAGACCCUAUAGAUCUUUAUAUAAUUUUUUUUUGUAUUAAUAAAGAAAUUUUAAUUUAUUAAAAAAAAUUAUAUUUUAUUGGGGUAAUAAAAAGAUUAAUUAAAUUCUUUUAUAAAAAACAAUAAUUAUUGAUUAUAUGAUCCAUUAUUAAUGAUUAUAAGAUUAAGUUACCUUAGGGAUAACAGCGUAAUUUUUUUAGAGAGUUCUUAUCAAUAAAAAAGUUUGCGA
Molecule: ribosomal RNA, 434 nt
Filed under: Hydroporus sinuatipes
Lineage: Eukaryota; Metazoa; Arthropoda; Insecta; Coleoptera; Dytiscidae
Description: partial 16S ribosomal RNA
Source: RNAcentral